UGUGAACUCGAAGAGUAGGGCGGGACACGUGGUAUCCUGUCUGAAUAUGGGGGGACCAUCCUCCAAGGCUAAAUACUCCUGACUGACCGAUAGUGAACCAGUACCGUGAGGGAAAGGCGAAAAGAACCCCGGCGAGGGGAGUGAAAAAGAACCUGAAACCGUGUACGUACAAGCAGUGGGAGCCUCUUUAUGGGGUGACUGCGUACCUUUUGUAUAAUGGGUCAGCGACUUAUAUUCUGUAGCAAGGUUAACCGAAUAGGGGAGCCGAAGGGAAACCGAGUCUUAACUGGGCGUUAAGUUGCAGGGUAUAGACCCGAAACCCGGUGAUCUAGCCAUGGGCAGGUUGAAGGUUGGGUAACACUAACUGGAGGACCGAACCGACUAAUGUUGAAAAAUUAGCGGAUGACUUGUGGCUGGGGGUGAAAGGCCAAUCAAACCGGGAGAUAGCUGGUUCUCCCCGAAAGCUAUUUAGGUAGCGCCUCGUGAAUUCAUCUUCGGGGGUAGAGCACUGUUUCGGCUAGGGGGUCAUCCCGACUUACCAACCCGAUGCAAACUGCGAAUACCGAAGAAUGUUAUCACGGGAGACACACGGCGGGUGCUAACGUCCGUCGUGAAGAGGGAAACAACCCAGACCGCCAGCUAAGGUCCCAAAGUCAUGGUUAAGUGGGAAACGAUGUGGGAAGGCACAGACAGCCAGGAUGUUGGCUUAGAAGCAGCCAUCAUUUAAAGAAAGCGUAAUAGCUCACUGGUCGAGUCGGCCUGCGCGGAAGAUGUAACGGGGCUAAACCAUGCACCGAAGCUGCGGCAGCGACACUAUGUGUUGUUGGGUAGGGGAGCGUUCUGUAAGCCGUUGAAGGUGGCCUGUGAGGGUUGCUGGAGGUAUCAGAAGUGCGAAUGCUGACAUAAGUAACGAUAAUGCGGGUGAAAAACCCGCACGCCGGAAGACCAAGGGUUCCUGUCCAACGUUAAUCGGGGCAGGGUGAGUCGACCCCUAAGGCGAGGCCGAAAGGCGUAGUCGAUGGGAAACAGGUUAAUAUUCCUGUACUUGGUGUUACUGCGAAGGGGGGACGGAGAAGGCUAUGUUAGCCGGGCGACGGUUGUCCCGGUUUAAGCAUGUAGGCGGAGAUUCCAGGUAAAUCCGGAGUCUUGUUAACGCUGAGGUGUGAUGACGAGGCACUACGGUGCUGAAGUAACAAAUGCCCUGCUUCCAGGAAAAGCCUCUAAGCAUCAGGUAACACAAAAUCGUACCCCAAACCGACACAGGUGGUCAGGUAGAGAAUACCAAGGCGCUUGAGAGAACUCGGGUGAAGGAACUAGGCAAAAUGGUGCCGUAACUUCGGGAGAAGGCACGCUGAUAUGUAGGUGAAGUGAUUUACUCAUGGAGCUGAAAUCAGUCGAAGAUACCAGCUGGCUGCAACUGUUUAUUAAAAACACAGCACUGUGCAAACACGAAAGUGGACGUAUACGGUGUGACGCCUGCCCGGUGCCGGAAGGUUAAUUGAUGGGGUUAUCCGUAAGGAGAAGCUCUUGAUCGAAGCCCCGGUAAACGGCGGCCGUAACUAUAACGGUCCUAAGGUAGCGAAAUUCCUUGUCGGGUAAGUUCCGACCUGCACGAAUGGCGUAAUGAUGGCCAGGCUGUCUCCACCCGAGACUCAGUGAAAUUGAACUCGCUGUGAAGAUGCAGUGUACCCGCGGCAAGACGGAAAGACCCCGUGAACCUUUACUAUAGCUUGACACUGAACACUGGUCCUUGAUGUGUAGGAUAGGUGGGAGGCUUUGAAGUGUGGACGCCAGUCUGCAUGGAGCCAACCUUGAAAUACCACCCUUUAAUGGCUGGUGUUCUAACGUAGACCCGUGAUCCGGGUUGCGGACAGUGUCUGGUGGGUAGUUUGACUGGGGCGGUCUCCUCCUAAAGAGUAACGGAGGAGCACGAAGGUUAGCUAAUCCUGGUCGGACAUCAGGAGGUUAGUGCAAAGGCAUAAGCUAGCUUGACUGCGAGAGUGACGGCUCGAGCAGGUGCGAAAGCAGGUCUUAGUGAUCCGGUGGUUCUGAAUGGAAGGGCCAUCGCUCAACGGAUAAAAGGUACUCCGGGGAUAACAGGCUGAUACCGCCCAAGAGUUCAUAUCGACGGCGGUGUUUGGCACCUCGAUGUCGGCUCAUCACAUCCUGGGGCUGAAGUAGGUCCCAAGGGUAUGGCUGUUCGCCAUUUAAAGUGGUACGCGAGCUGGGUUUAGAACGUCGUGAGACAGUUCGGUCCCUAUCUGCCGUGGGCGCUGGAGAAUUGAGGGGGGCUGCUCCUAGUACGAGAGGACCGGAGUGGACGCAUCACUGGUGUUCGGGUUGUCAUGCCAAUGGCAUUGCCCGGUAGCUAAAUGCGGAAGAGAUAAGUGCUGAAAGCAUCUAAGCACGAAACUUGCCCCGAGAUGAGUUCUCCCUGACCCUUUAAGGGUCCUGAAGGAACGUUGAAGACGACGACGUUGAUAGGUCGGGUGUGUAAGCGUAGCGAUACGUUGAGCUAACCGAUACUAAUGAACCGUGAGGCUUAACCUUACAACGCCGAAG
This 2562-nucleotide ribosomal RNA is filed under the name Citrobacter braakii. Its description in RNAcentral is "bacterial LSU rRNA". It matches the Rfam family "Bacterial large subunit ribosomal RNA", at positions 398 to 2925 of the family's 2925-position model. The record is from RNAcentral. Lineage: Bacteria; Pseudomonadati; Pseudomonadota; Gammaproteobacteria; Enterobacterales; Enterobacteriaceae.